CAGAAAUCUCCUUCUCACAACAGCGGUCUUUAGGAAAGAGGGCCAUAUCACACUCAACCUCAGCAAUGACUCUUCUUCUUCUAAUCGUUCUUGCUCUUGGUGAUCUGCCAGUUUGUACAAAGAUUUUUGGAUGGUUCAACAAAUUGUAGCUGGUGUUCUGCUACCUGCACAAUUCUGCGUACAGUUGGAGGUUCGGGACUGGAUAAAUCACUCUUUUUAAUGGAUCCCACAAAGUUGGAUUUAUCGUAACUGCCUAUUUUUUAUCAGAAUCUCUUCAAAGUGUGGAGUUUUUUUUGUGUCCGUCAGACUGAGAAUUUUUUCUCUCUUCACUGGUUAUUACUGGAGCCAUUGAUUCUCGGGGCCCGUUUGGACAUUACUGCACGAAGUAACCUACAAGGAUUUAGCACCUCUCUUCGGCAAUCCAGGAUUUUCACUUUGGGACACUUAUUGACUAUAACUUGGGCCUCACUUUGAACAGGUGGAGGCAACUUCCAAGCGGUUGGGUAUUAGAUCUAUCCGCUUGCUCGCACAGUUUUUAACAAAGUUAAGACUCUGUUUUACAGUUGAAGAAGACCAGAUGUUGAAGGAUUUUUUUGCAGGGAUUAGUGUUCCUGAUCCGGAGGAUCCCUUUCCCUGUUUAUUCGUGCAACCCAUUCUUGAUGAGAAUAUAGGCUUUAGUUUUCUUUUAAAAUCACAUGAAUCUUUGGUUUUAGAUUUCUUAUCAUGUGAAGGUAAAAAACUGUAUAGAACUUGUGUUUUGGUCUUUAUCAAGAAGUCUUUGGUUAGCAGAAUCGAUACACCAUGGCAUUCAGUUUUCAGUUUGAAAAAUGAUGUAAAACCCGAAUGGAGAUCUUUGUAUAAGCCACCAUUGUCAAAGAGGGUAGGUGAUAUACAAUGGAGGGUUUUGCAUGGUGCCAUUGCUGUUAAUUCUUUUAUCUCAGUGAUGAACCCAGAAGUUGAUCCUGGAUUCCCUUUUUGUCUUCAAAGAGAGACUAUUUUUCACAUGUUCAUGCACUGUUUUAGAUUACAGCCUUUAUUUGUGAAGCUUAAGGAAUUGUUUGGUAGGUUCAAUUAAAAUUUUUCAACUGAGACUUUUAUUAUGGGUUCUAAAUAUUUCCAGAAAAAACGUUUUGUUUGUAAAUUGUUGAAUUUCAUUUUAGGACAAGCAAAGCUGGCUGUGUAUAUUAGGUGGAAAAAUAACAUUCAGCAAAGGUCUAGCAAUGAUGUUUAUGUGUGUUUUCUGGCUUUGGUCAAAUCGAGGGUAUUGAUCGACUUUAAUUUUUAUAGAGCCAUGGAAGAUCUUUUAACUUUUGAACAAAUUUGGUGUAGUCAUGGUGCUUUGUGCACAAUAUCCGAAAAUGAGUUCGUGUUUUUCUUAUAAUCCCAUAGUGUUAUCUUUUCUUUAAUGUGCUUGCUGUAUGUUUUAAGUCAUUUGUGCAGUGUGUUUUGAGCAUUUGUAAAUAAAGCUUUUUUCAAAAUCAAAAAAUCUCUCAAAAUCAAAUAAAAAAUAAACUAACAAUUAAACAUUUAAACUUUGUGUGCUUUAAUCGCUUUCACAGUUCUGUCAAAUUAAUGGAAGAUAUAGUAAAAAUUUGCACAAUCAGUCGCAGUAAAUGGAGAAAGUCAUCUGCUCAGCCUUAAUUAUGUCAUUCUUAAACAUUUUGAGUAAAUGUUGUAUUAAAUUAAAGUAGAGAACCUAUUGAUCCAUAUUAUACCACUAUAUUCACAAAUCAAAUUAGAAACCAUAAGUAAAAUUUUGAUUUGUUGUUGUGAUGUGUUAGGUUGCUAGCUGCAAAGUGGCUACUUUGCUCACUUGCUAAUGUUGAUGUGGUUUAAGGCUAUAUUUCUGCUCUUCCUCUGAAACAGGAAGAAGCAGAGACACUGCAAGAAGUGACCAGAUCCUGUCAUGCACAUGCACUCUGCUGUAGACAUGAUUUACCCUCUGAUUCUCUCUGGAAUUUUACUUCACAUCACAGGUCAACUUCUGACAGCCGAUGAAAAUGGUUGAAUAUGUAAAAUAUAUUUUUAUAUCUCAAAAUCAACUUAUUGUAUAACUGAUACAACUAGUUUCUCAAAAAGUGAAAUGAUCAUACAUAAUCUUCUCAAGCAAAGAGAGAAAGAGCUCUAGUGAGCAUCAGUGUCAAAAUAUGCUAAUUUGUGAUUGAUAAAACUUAAUACACUUGCCACCCAGAUCCCGUUAUUAGUGGAACAGAGAUGUAAAUAAAAGUGUGAUGUAACUUAAAGAAGUGUGGAAGUGCAUCAGUUACUAACUUUGUGUGUUAAAAUGCAGUUAUUGUGAUUGGUUUGCUCAGUAAACUUUGCUGCUGUCUGGUUGACCAAGGCUUCAACUCUAAUGAAACACACCUGAACAAGCUAAUCAAGGUCUGAAGGGUUACUAGAAAGCUACAGGCAGGUGAGAUUAAAUUAAGGUUGGAGUUGAACUCUGCAGGGCUGUGGCUCUCCAGGACCGGAGUUCACGGUUAGUUUAUUUAAUGAGUGAUAUGUUGCUUUCUUUAUAUUUUUUUUCUGUAUUGUUUGUGCAUAAAAUGCAGAUCUACUCUAAACCUGAAGAUCCACCGAUAUACAGCACUAUAAAUGAUGAAAACCCAAAUGUAAGUAGACCAGACAUGCACUGAUGUGAUGAAAUUUCAGACAUGAAUAUAUCAUGUUUAUUAUGCAAUCCCUUUUUCUACAGGAUCUCAACAAGGACAUAAUCUACUACAGUACUAUUGAUGAUGUUCCUGGGAGUGAAGCAGUGAGGCCUCCAGCAGGCGGAGCGAUAUACAGCAUAAUAUACAGCACUGUGGAUCCACACUGACUGCAACAGUGAAGAACUCAGGAACAGAACCUUCUGACCAUGAGAAACAAAAUCAGGAUCAGAGGACUGUCAUCACAACUUUUUUGUAGUUUUUUGUAUUAUCUGCUUAUAAUUUCUUCACUGUAAGUUUACUUGUACAGUUUUAUGUUGUUUGCAUUAAUACAAACAAGCAUGGGCC
Molecule: long non-coding RNA, 2996 nt
Organism: Cyprinus carpio carpio
Lineage: Eukaryota; Metazoa; Chordata; Actinopteri; Cypriniformes; Cyprinidae
Source: Ensembl